This 433-nucleotide ribosomal RNA is filed under the name uncultured bacterium. RNAcentral describes it as "bacterial SSU rRNA". It matches the Rfam family "Bacterial small subunit ribosomal RNA", at positions 355 to 786 of the family's 1533-position model. The record is from RNAcentral.
UGAGGAAUAUUGGUCAAUGGGCGGGAGCCUGAACCAGCCAAGUCGCGUGAGGGAAGAAGGUGCUAAGCAUUGUAAACCUCUUUUGCCGGGGAACAAAAGAUCCCACGCGUGGGAUUAUGAGUGUACCCGGAGAAAAAGCAUCGGCUAACUCCGUGCCAGCAGCCGCGGUAAUACGGAGGAUGCGAGCGUUAUCCGGAUUUAUUGGGUUUAAAGGGUGCGCAGGCGGCUCGUCAAGUCAGCGGUAAAAUGUCGGGGCUCAACCCCGGCCGGCCGUUGAAACUGACGAGCUGGAGUUGGAGAGAAGUACGCGGAAUUCGUGGUGUAGCGGUGAAAUGCUUAGAUAUCACGAAGAACUCCGAUUGCGAAGGCAGCGUACCGGCUCCAUACUGACGCUGAGGCACGAAAGCGUGGGGAUCGAACAGGAUUAGAUACC